RNAcentral lists this ribosomal RNA (133 nucleotides) under Pezicula californiae. RNAcentral's name for it is "partial 18S ribosomal RNA". It matches the Rfam family "Eukaryotic small subunit ribosomal RNA", at positions 1701 to 1831 of the family's 1831-position model. The record is from RNAcentral. Lineage: Eukaryota; Fungi; Ascomycota; Leotiomycetes; Helotiales; Dermateaceae.
GUGAGGCUUUCGGACUGGCCUAGGGAGAGCGGCAACGUUCACCCAGGGCCGGAAAGUUGUCCAAACUUGGUCAUUUAGAGGAAGUAAAAGUCGUAACAAGGUCUCCGUAGGUGAACCUGCGGAGGGAUCAUUA